Molecule: long non-coding RNA, 974 nt
Filed under: Brassica rapa (field mustard)
Lineage: Eukaryota; Viridiplantae; Streptophyta; Magnoliopsida; Brassicales; Brassicaceae
Description: long non-coding RNA (BRAP_LNC001146)
Source: RNAcentral
GUUCUCAGCAUUCAUUCGGUUUAAUUCAUCCACUAAAGCAGUUGUCUGCAAAUAAUAUGUAUGUAUAUUGCAUGAAUUUAGUAACUAGGUGUAUUAACAUAUCCUUUUUUUUUGUUAAAGUCACUUCUCUAGUUCCUGAUCUUGUUCUUUGGUGCUUAGGAAUGUUUUUUUUUUUAAUAAAUGACAUUUUUUGAAAAAAAUUGUUUAAGACUAACAUAUCAUAAACUUAUACGACCUAAAAUUUGCUGUUACAAUCAUAUCAUGAAGUUACCAGUUUUUGUCAAAAUACUAGCAAGUUUUUUUUUCAAGUUUCUAAACUUAAAGUAUAUCUAAAAAUCUUUGUGUGUAUACAUAUAUAUUUUAUUUGUGCCUAUGUAAAGAUAUUUACGUAUGCAAAACUAUAGAUUGUUGCGAUCGUAUACAUGAAAAUAUAUACAUGAAAAACGAAAAAUAAAAAAAUAUAUAUAUACAUAUACAUGUGUUCAUAAAAAUGAAGUUCUAACAGUUCGAAAUCGGAUUCUGUCUACAAAGUACUUUGAAAAACCAAGGCUAACGGGACUACUUCAACACUGGUUUGCAGCCCAUGAUGGGCAUAUUUAGAUUGAUUCCCACUAUUUUUUAUUUAUGCAUUGUACAUAAACAUUUUACCUUUAGAUGAUCAAUAAAUUUAAUAUUUCGUAAAUAAAAAAAUACUAACAGUUUUCAUGAAUAUGUGUUUUAAGUGAACUGAAGAUGUAAAGAAACAACAAUACAAGAGAAGCAUACCGUGGAAUCUUCUUCAACUCGCAUUCGCGUAACUCCAAUAGUGAGAUCUAAAGAAGUAUCGACCAAAGAUGAUGGGUACUGGUCCAUGGAUGUUAAGAUUGUACGAUGAAUCUUCUUGACUCUUGAGUAUGUAUAUGUAAGCUUAGAAAGAACGUUGAGAGAUUCGUAGUAAGAGUUCGAUCUUAUUGACUUCUUUUUUUUUCCUUUUC